UUGACUCUUCGUCUUAUUUGAAAUUUUUUAUGAUUAGUAUUUUUAUUAUUACUGCAUGAUAAAAUAUAAAUAGUACUUUAUAUAUGAUUAUUUUUUUGAUUUUUAAUAAAUUUUUCAAAUAAGACGGAUGGUCAA
This 135-nucleotide microRNA precursor is filed under the name Oryza brachyantha (malo sina). RNAcentral's name for it is "MIR812 microRNA precursor family". It matches the Rfam family "MIR812 microRNA precursor family", at positions 34 to 172 of the family's 205-position model. Lineage: Eukaryota; Viridiplantae; Streptophyta; Magnoliopsida; Poales; Poaceae. The record is from Rfam by way of RNAcentral.